GGCGACGAGGGGAUUGACAAUAACACUAUACAUAAUUUUUGGGAUGUCAUAAAAAUAACAGAACACCGUAAUAAUGGUAUGACAUAUUGAUGCAUCUUAUGACAUCAUAUUACAUUCUAUAAAUAAUUAUCAGGAUGUUAUAAAAUAUAACAGGACAUCUUAAUAAUAAUAUGAUAUUUAUUGCAUCCUGUGACAUCCUAUUGCAUCUUAUAU
RNAcentral lists this long non-coding RNA (213 nucleotides) under Elaeis guineensis (African oil palm). RNAcentral's name for it is "long non-coding RNA (EGUI_LNC026251)". The record is from RNAcentral. Lineage: Eukaryota; Viridiplantae; Streptophyta; Magnoliopsida; Arecales; Arecaceae.